UGCCAAGAAGCGCAAAAGAAAGGCCUG
RNAcentral lists this non-coding RNA (27 nucleotides) under Rattus norvegicus (Norway rat). The record is from RNAcentral. Lineage: Eukaryota; Metazoa; Chordata; Mammalia; Rodentia; Muridae.